GGACUACUGGGGUAUCUAAUCCCGUUCGCUACCCUAGCUUUCGCGCCUCAGCGUCAGAAGAGGUCCAGCACGUCGCUUUCGCCACCGGCGUUCCUUCCGAUAUCAACGCAUUUCACCGCUCCACCGGAAGUUCCACAUGCCCCUAUCUCCCUCAAGACAGCCAGUAUCAAGAGCACUUUUCCGGUUGAGCCGAAAGAUUUCACUCCUGACUUGGCCGCCCGCCUACGCGCCCUUUAAGCCCAGUGAUUCCGAACAACGUUCGCACGGUUCGUCUUACCGCGGCUGCUGGCAC
Molecule: ribosomal RNA, 292 nt
Filed under: uncultured bacterium
Lineage: Bacteria
Also listed under: 2 other names
Description: partial 16S ribosomal RNA
Source: RNAcentral